This 10951-nucleotide long non-coding RNA is filed under the name Homo sapiens (human). RNAcentral's name for it is "HSALNT0383073". The record is from RNAcentral. Lineage: Eukaryota; Metazoa; Chordata; Mammalia; Primates; Hominidae.
CUCCCAAAGUGCUGGGAUUACAGGCGUGACAAGGAUCUUUAUGACAUUGUACACAUGGAUCAAAAUAUCACAGGUGCUCCAAAAUAUGUACGACUAUGAUAAAUGACUUUAAAAAGAAUCGAAUAAUAAUAAUAAAGAUAUCCUUAACAAAAAAGUGGCUUCUAACCUACCAGUUUGCAAUCUUAGCAAUGAACACUGUGCAGUUAUGAAAUUAUUGUCCCUCAGCUCCAAAGCCACCCUCCUAGACCUUACUUGGUCCACAAAUCCCGGUCAGUUUUGCCAGCCACUCUCUGCUAGGCUCUGCCAAUAGAGGGCGCUAGAGGGAGGCUUCAGGGCUGGGGAAAGAAGAAAGCACCUGUCCUUUCUGUUCCCUGUAGGUUUCAGCCUGACUGCAGCAAUUCCUUUCUAGAUAGCAGCUGCAUCCAAUUAGCAGAGGCCACAUUGCACUUCAUUCUCCUCUCCAACACCAGCAACUGCCAGCCAGGGCCUCUCUUAAGAGAGCUGAGUUGCAGCUUUAUGGAACCCCUUUUCAAGAUUCUAAGUUAUAAUCAUUCCAAUCUCUUUCCUUUAUUCUCCAAGCCCUAGGGGAGGUAGCUUCUCCCUGCAUUUGCUACCUCAGUGAAACUUUUCAAAAGCGUUUCACCCAUCCUGUUAAUAAUUUUUACAUUAAAAUCUCUCUUUUCAAGUAACUGGUAUGAUUUGUCUCCUGACUAUCCCAUGACUGAUCUAGACACCUAGACAAAUUGAAAAACUUUACAAGUUAGAUGUUGAAUCCAACCCCUUAGUUUUACCAGACGAGGAGGCUGAGCCCCAGAAAGGGUCAAUAACUUGCCCAGAACCUCAAUGCUGGCCGAGGACCUGCUGGCACUGCAUUUCUGGUCUCCUGGCUCCAGGCCUUGUGCUUUCACUACUAAACCUCACUGUCCAAGGUCAUGGAGGUACCAGAGAGAAUAAGAAGAGCUUCUCAAAUGCUGUCUUUGAAGUCUAGGAAAAGGAAGAAUGAAGGAAAAAUGAGCCUAUCACCAGGGAAGGGAAAUACAAAAUUAACAAUGUCUCUGGAAUGGCUAUGUUAUUAGACUCAUUUAAAAUCUGUCUUUAGCAAAAGAAAUUUAAAAAAUACAUUUGGAAAAUUAGAGUGCAGUGGAGUUAUCAAAAAUUACCUUAGUGUGAAGCAGAUAAGGAACUAGUUAGAAAGCCAGAAAUUCAAUCUUCCCUCAAUUUCACUCAACAAGCUCGGUGGCAUAUUAGGGAAAUGAUCCCUUAAUAUACUGAGAUUUUUGAGGAAAUUGAAAACCAGGAUUGCUACUUGCAGAGCAAAGGAGGAAGAGGAGAAGAAGGAGGAGGAGGAGGAGGAGGAGGAGGAGGAGGAGGUUGAAAGGAGGAGCGAUGUGGUGGAGUGGAAAAGACUUUUAAUUGGUGGUAACACAACAAAGGAAAUAGAAUACCCCUCCUUGGAAGAGGGAGGAGCCUGCAGUGACAGGCACCAUGCAAGAAAGAGCCCAGUUCUGAGACUGAGACAUCUGGGCCAUGGUCCUGGCUCCAUGACUACCACAGCAUGCCUGUGGGCAGCCCAUUCAGCCUCUCUGACCACUAUUACAUCUUUGUAAAAUUCGGUGCCCAUCUUUGCAGAGUUGUUAGGAUUAUAUAGGGGAGUGGAUUUAAAGUAUCUAGCAAAAUGCCUGGCACCAAAGUAAAUGCACAUUUAAUAAAAGCUGCUAUUGAUGUUAUUAGCAGUACAGCUUAAAAUUGUCUAGGACCUUGGAAAGCCACAGGAUUAGAAAAAUAAAAAUAAGAUGGUGAUAUUUUAAAAACAAGCCAAUCAUAUACUAAAGGAAUAUGAGGAAAAAGGAUAGAGAAUAGCAUAGGAAACUUAUUUUUAGUAGUAUGCCCUUUAAAUAGACCUCCCUCUCUCCUUACCUGGAGAAGAAGCCAGCUUCCAAUAAAAAGCUUUUUUUGAAAAAUAUUUUCGAAGUUUCCUCUAACAAGACUUUGAAGGGGGGAUUUUUUUUUUUUUUUUUUGCUAACUCAUAUUUCUUCAGUUCCCACAUUAAAUGUCAUCUCCUUAGAAAGGCAUCCCUGAUGUUCCAAACUAAGGCUCCACCAACUUUUUCUAUAAAGGGACAGAGCAUAGAUAUUUUACUUGUAAAAUGUACUUUGCCAAUCUUCUAUGGUCUCUGUCACAUCAUAUUAUUAUUCCUAAAUUUACAACCCUUUAAAAAUGUUAAAAAAAAAAUUGGUCAUAGGUUUGUAGACCACAGUUUGUUGGUUCCUGUUCCAAAUUUCAGUCGUCCCUGAUAGUCUUUUGGCAGCAUACUAUUGCUUUUCCUUUGUAUCACAUGUCUCUAUUUGAUGUUAUAUAUUUAUUUGUUUGAUAUUUGCCAAACUCCUGUGACUGUAAACUCCUGGACGAAGGGACCAUGUUGAUUUUGCUUGAGGAGAGUUCGACACUGUGUCUCUAGCACAGAGAUGUACACAUAGUAGGUACUCCAUUAAUAUUUGUUCAAUAAAUAAAACAAUCUAAAAGUAAUUCCUAUUCACUGUAAGAAAAUCUGAGGAAUACCCCCCAAAAUGUAUAAAAGGUAAAGCAAUAAUCUAUUCAUCAUACCACCACUCAGAGACAGCUGUUGUCAGCAGGCUUUAUUUUUGUAUUUGUAUUGGUACGUGUAUAACUACAUACUGUAUUUACACGAUAGAAAUCUUUCUGUCUCGAAAGCUUCAUAGUCUAGCUUUUCACUUAAUAAACAACUCAGCAAAGAAUAUUUUAUGCAUAUGUCUUUGUUGGUGUUUCUAGUUAUUUGCUCAGAAUAGAUUCCAAGAAAUCGAAUCAUGAGAUCGAAGGAGAUCAACAAGUUUGUGGCUCUUGAGACACAAUGCCAAAUAUCCUUCUAGAGAGCUGGCAGAUAUCAGAAACCUCUUCUCAGCUUUAGAGAUGCUUUUCACACAGACAGAAGAUUUCCUCUCCACACCAGAGGCAGCAGGAUAAGAUGUACCAUCAGACCGCACUGGCUUACCGUGGUGACAAGAAAGAAGAGGCCCUGACUGGGUGAGCUUCUUUAUUUAGCAAUUAACCAAAGACAAAUAAACCACUUCUAACCUUUUUCUUGCUUGAAUAUGUAGAAAUUAAAUGCAUUCAUUAUCCUGAGAGGAUUAUGAGCUUCUUUUUCCUGCAGUGACUCAAAUAUUUAUUUGACUGUAUGCAUAUGCUUUGCAGGAAUAAAAAUCAGCAUCUUCCAACUAAACCAUUUCCAUUGCAUCUAUAAUAACAUCUCUAAAAAGUAAUUCCUGUCAUUUCCAUUCCAUUUAUUUAUUACUCAACCAAAUAUACCCCCCUUGAAGGGUAGUAUUCUCUUGGACUAGGGCAUGGGAUUCACAGUUCCUCAAAGUGGUAAAUGUGAUAAAUGUUUUAACAUAUAUGGGAAUCCCACAAAGAACUCUCACUUUGGUAUUAAAUCAUGGAGGAACAUCAGGGUAUCCAUCUGCACACCCUAUGAAAUAAGAUGCAUUGGGUAAGUCAGCCAGGUGCUUUGUUUAUGUGGCAUCUGGACGCUUGGAAACUUCUGGAUGAGUAAACACUUUCUUUUGGGUCGAAAAGGUUUGGCUUUAACAUGUCGUCUAGUGGAAACCAAUCUAGAAUCACCAUGUUCGACUUUUCUAGUCUUUUAUGGGUCCAGUAAACUCAAGUGAAGGAAUCUUCAGAAGUGGGUUAACUUGUCCAUUCUCUUGGUAGUUGGAAUUCUUUCCUAAAUGUCACAUAAGAUAUUUGGAUACAAAUGUGUAGAGGAGAAAUGAAGGGACAAAAGAAUUAACAUUUGUUGAUCUCCUGCCAUAUGUAAGACACUGUGAUAGAUCACAUGUAUAAUAAUUUCAAUUUGUCAUUCCAACCUGGUGAGGGAGGUAUUAAUGGCUUCAUUUAACAGAUGAGGAAACUGAGGUUAAGAGAUUUCCUCUCUGACCACAAUUAUUAAAGUAUAAGUAAACUUUCCCAAUCUCUGAUGAAAGAACCUAGGAUUAUAGUUGAGUGAGUCACCAAUGCCCCAAAUUAUGACAUAGCCCAUGAAGAAAGAUACACUAAUACUCUUCAAGGACAGCAGGGUUGGGGUGAGGCAUUUGUCACUCUGCCUGAGGAUGCAACAUUCUCACUUGCCCUGGCCCCUCAGCUCAGGGCGAGCCACAGCACAGCAGAAGAGCAGAACCGCCCCUCCUGGAAGUUCUAGGUUCUGAAUGUGUCCAAUAGGCCCAGAGGUGAGGGUCUACAGGCAGAUCAGGGAGUCUGAGAGACAGAAGCCCCUUGCUUCAGCAGCAUUGGAUUUAAGGACAGAGCCUUAAAUCAGGAAGAAGUUCUCUCUCCAACCAUAUACAGGGGAAACUAAAGACUUUGCCUGGCAACCUAGAGACUUUAUCAUCGCAGGAGAUGGAUAACCAAGAUGAAACCAUGAGACAACAUUCUGGGCCAAGCAGUGAGCAAUGAGGAGACCCAGACCCCAGGUUCCUGGCUGUGUCUUUGGCUAAAAAGAAGAGGCAUUAAGACAGAUUCCCUGAGGAUACUUCAAGAACCCUGAAAUUGCCUUGCUCACAUACCACCACACUAGAGAUGUUUCAGAAAAGCAGCUUCCCUUUUGGUGCCUCCAAUCCAGAAUGACUCCAGGACCCACCGAGAGGUGAGGCAGAGAGGACAAGGCAAGGACAAAACUUCUUUGGACUAUUUUCUGCACAUCCCCAGCAGAGAUUGAUGAAUGCCUCUGAGUCAGCAAAAUCUCCAGUGGUGAAACAGAAAGCGUACACUCCACACAUUCAAGCAGCCAGGCCAGCCCACACGGAGAAGAGGAUGUUCACAUCCAGCCUGUUCAGUGGACCCCAUGGGGCAUUUCAAAGGCUAUUACAUUUCCAGGACCUUCUAUCACACCCCCUUUCUUCCAUCCCUGCUAAUAUUUGUGACUUUCCAGCUUUCUUCUCUGAAAUUAAAAUCAAACCUUUGCAAAGUGAAAAUCAGUUCAUCUGAGCUAGUGCUGGUUAAGAUUUACAAAAUAAAGAGGAAUUUUACACCCACUGGCCUCAAAGAGUCAUUUUAGCUGGCAGUCAUGAGCUCCACCGAGGACCCGAGUGUUCUCUGUCUGACCGGGUUGCUGGCGGAAGGGAUGCGGGAAAUUCUUUGUGCUCUGUUGCUCUGCUCCAUACUUAGUGACGGAUCAUCUCUUGGGCCCCUGACACAAAGGAUGGCAAUGUCACCACUCAGCUCUCUGGCAGCCUAUUCUAGGCUGACAGUCUAGCCUCAGGGAUCACUGCAGACCCCUGCAGUUUCCCCUUCCAGUGAAAUCAGCUGGGUGCUGAUUUUACACCCACUGGCUGAGACACAAACAACAUCCCUCUCUCGCCUACAGAGAUGGGCUGGCACUGACUCCAGCACCCUGAGAGGCCAAUGCCAACUUCACACUUGCAUCUUAUUGGAGUCAUGCAUUUUGCAUAGAAGUUGUUUAAGGUUAUAUGUGUAAUGCGCACCUGGAAAAGUCUUCCAGGGGUGGGACAGCAAGAUAAAGGAGAAGCAACAGACUUUGAAGUCAGAUAUAACUGGAUUUUUGAAAUCCUAGAUCUGUCACUGACUAGUUUUUCCAAGUUACUUUACCCUCUUAGAGCCUAUGUUUUCUCAUCUGUUAAACAGUGAAAAUCAUGUUUGUCUUUCAGGUCAUUAUAAAGGUUAGAAAUGGUAUAAUGUAAGAUACCUAGUACAAAAUGGAUGCAAAGAAAGAGCUUAUCAGAUUAUAACUCUUGGUAGUGGUGAUAGUAGUAUAAUUAUUAUAAUUUGAUUUUAAAUUAGAAAAAAAGGAACAGGUUAUAUAAGACAGUGGGAAACAACUGAUUUAUUCGUAUCAGUUUCUUUUGCUUUCUAUGAAGAAGUCUGUAUGGGAGAAAAUAAACCUUUCAACUUCAUUCAUAUAAAGGAACCCACAGUAACAAUGAGUGGCAACACAGGACAGGAAAAUCACAUUAGGAACUGGGGUCCAGCACUCAUGCCUUAAGGUCUCUGAGCAACACUCCCCUCAUUGCAUAAAUACAGACUAUCACUCUACUCAUCUCACAGAGUCAUUUAAAGACCAAAUAAGAGCGAUUAGGAAAACCAUUGAAAAUCUGUAAAGCACUGUACAAGAUUUUUUAAUGCAGUUCCAUUUUUUCAUGCUACCGAAGAUAUGUGCAAAUAUUCCAAACAUCAUCGCAAAUACAGGAAGGAAGCCAUGUGGGGAUCGUUCCUACUUUUUAAUACAGCUCGAUAAGCAAAAACCCUGCCAUCUCAGCAGCUCCUACUGAUACACAGUCUUUGUCUUAAGCAAAAACCCUGACAUCUCAGCAGCUCCUACUGAUACACAGUCUUUGUAUAAACUACGUGGUUCUCUACUCUGGCUGUACAAUAGUGUCACUAUGGAGCUAUUAAAAAAUGUAUAUGCCCAUGACUCAUCCAUAGACAUUCUGGCUUAGUUAUUCCAGAGCACAGCCUGUGCUUUUUAUCAGCAGCUCCUCAGGUGAUUCUAUUGGGCAGUUAGGAUUAAGGACAUUCAUCUAGUGCAGUGGUUGUCAACUGGAAGUGAUUUUUCCCCCCAGGGGACAUUUAGCAAUACCUGGAGACGUUUCUGGUUGUCACAACUGGGAGCAGGGUGCUACAGGCAUCUAGUGAGUGGAGGCUAGGGAUGCUGCUAGGCAUCCUACAAUGGAAAGGACGGCCCCUCAGAACAUGGAAUUGUCCAGCCCAACAUGUCAAUAGUGCAUGACUUUGAGAGGGGCCACACAGAGGACUCAUUCUAAAGAAAGUCAGGAACUGCCCAUACUGCACAAACAUAGCUCAGCAAUAUUUCUGGUUUCACAUGCUCUCCAGAACCUUGUCAUUUCCUCCAUUAGAAGAUGGAGUCUAUUUCUUCUUUUUGAAAUUGAACUGGUCUUUAUUACUAUCUCAACAAAUAGAAUUCAAGGAAAUAACAUGCCUGACUUCUGAGGCAAAGUCACAAAAGGCUUCUGCUUGUCUUUCUCUCUCAAGAUCUCUUUCCAAGCCAACAGGUUAAAAAAAAAAAUCCAGCUACCCUGGAGCUGCCAUGUUGGAAAGAUCACAUUUAAAGAUCGUAUGGAGAUAGAGAGAGAUGCUCAAAAGAAGCCCCAGCCAUCUGCGUCUUCCAGUUUGGGUACCAGAUAUUUGUGUGGGUGAGCCCUCCGAUGAUUCCAGCCCCCACCUUCCAGCUGCCCCAGGUAAUGUCAAGUGGAAUAGGGGCCAGGUGUCUGCCCAGACUGCAGAUUUAUAAGCAAAGUAAAUGGCAUGGAGGUUUUGGUUCUACGGGGAGUAUAUGUUUGCUUGCUUGUUUGAUAUGUAAUAAUAGAUAACCAGAAUAAAGUCCUUUAUGAUUCUAUAAAAGAUCCAUCUCUAAACCCUCUUCAUUGGGCCACCAAGGUCAAAAGCUUACAUAUACUUGUACAGGGAAUGAGUUUUAUAUAUUUCCAGCCCACUCCCAACUCUGCAACUUCCACCUCCAUUCUCAGUAAAUAUGCCAGUUUACUUAAGAAUUCCUCCCAUUCAUUUCUGUUGUGCUUUCUGUGGUCUGGAAGAUCAUAUUUUCCAACAUGUGGGUCAAGGGUCUUAUGGGUCUUUUUUGUUCUUGGUGAAGUUUUCCAUUGUGGAAGCAAAUAUAAGCAUAAAUAUAGGUGAAUCAAUACAAAUAAAUAAAUAACAUAUGUUUAUUCUGAUAAUUAGCAAAUUGGUAGUUACUAAACAUCUUUCAUUUACCAGGUCUUCCAGAAGGGUGCACUUAACUGUGGAGGAAAAACAACUCAUUAAAGUCUUUGAAGGUGACAUUGCCAAGGGAGAUAUUCUGCAGGCAAAGUGGACAGAAUGUCCUGAGACAUCCUUGCUUUAAUCAAUGUUGAAACAACUGAGAAGCUAAAACAUCAGGUUUUGCAGUUGGAUCAGGGGAGCAGGAUGAGUACUGACUAAGCACCUACUGUGUGCAGAUCCUGAGCAAAGUAGUUACGGCAGUUAGCAGGGGUAAUUGCAUUUAAUUUUCCCAACAUCCUUGGGAGCUAAGAACCAUCCUCUACUGCCCGGUCUUCUCUCUCUCCCCCUCUCUAUCUCUGCAUCUCCCUCUCUUUCCAGACAUUCCUGUUUAUUCCCAGUAAAACUAAAAUCUACACAAGCUCCACAUAUCUUUGAUUAAAUCUUGAUCAAAAUCCAAUAACUCAGAAACUGUAAGUUUCAACAAGGAGUUAAUAAUUUAAAGUUGUUGACACAAGUGCUUUUGAGACUGGUAGUAGGCUCUCUCCUCUGAUGUUGGAAUAAGCUGAAAGGCACAAAAAAUAGCAGUAGACAAGUGGGGAAAGUGUCACAUUCAAAGCUAAAUCCAUACUGAAUCUGUAUCUCACAUGAUAAAAUGAGUGUUUUGUGUGCAAGAACUUCUCCUCGAGAGAUUUUUUUUUUAACCCCCGGUGGUUUAAUUGUGAAAUUGCUCUUAAUCUUGAGAGUACGGAGCUUGCUUUUUGGUUGGCUGGCUAGGUGGUUGGUUGGUUGACUGUAGAAAACUUAUUUCUAUUCAUUGUGUGUUAGUUACAGAAAAGUGAAUUUACUCAUAAGCUUUGUAAUAGUCAACCCUCUGACUAUGAAUUCACCGACUGUAUUAUAAUAAACGCAGCCCACUGUGUAAAGAUGUAAAUCUCUUGAUGUUAAGAAGGGUUUUCUUCCUUGCAUAAACUGUACAAGAAAAUAAUGGUGCUUAUAGCAGAAAUGUCUUUAAGGCCUACAUAAAAACCUCAAUUUUUCAAAACACUCAAAUGGCUUCUACUAUUACCUCUAAAGACUAGUUUAGGAAUUGCAUAUUUCUUUCUCCAAUAACAUUCUAUGGGUUCUCCCACCUCCAGUCUCUCUCCUCAAUGAUCCUUUCUUCACCAAUGUGGUGAUUCUGCUAGUUGCUCAGGAUGUCUCUUCUAAUUAUGCAUUCCUGAACUGGGGGGAAAACCACAGAACAAGCUUGAGGACCCGCUGUGAGAUGGACCUGAGCUAAAACUCCAUUGAUCACCUAACCACCAUAAGCUCCUACUCUGACUGAUGGGCCACAGUGACGUUUUCAGUCUCUUGGAAUUAGUGUCAGUUCAGAGCAAGUAUCUUCAAAAGGUCUGACUAUUUUCCUUUCCCCAAUGCACAGUCACCUAGUAAAAGCCCACAGGUCUCUUUGGGGAACACUGAGAGAAAGAUUAAUGGUAUAAAUUUUUGGCAGUGUACUGGGGUCCCUCCUCAAGGAGAUUCAGCCUCCCUUUCAUUCAAGGGUUUCUGGGUCUGUAAACUGGCUCAAGUCUGGGAAUUGACCAAGAAGCCAUGAUGCUCUGUUUCUAUAUUUCAUGAGACUUCUGUUCACUUGACCUAGAAGUUUACUCUUAUACAGAUCAAGUAAGAGUUUAGUAGACCUCCUAUUUAUUUCAUUUCUAAAAAUGCCACAAUGAACUAGCCAGUACCACAGGUCUACAUAGGUCAGACUGUUCUGAUUUCUGCUUUGCCUCUGCUGUCCACUACAAUAACCACACUCCCCUUGCCUUUGGUGACUGAGUGCCACCACUUGGCCCUUGCACCCUGGGAUCCAAUUAUUCCCACUGCAUUUAGGUAUUGCAACUCCAUGACUACAGUCCACACUGUAAGGUCUGUUCCAGAGAGCACAGUAAUCACAGAUCUCUUUAAGAACACUGAGGAUCCCCUCAAAAAACUCACAUAGUCAUGGUAAAAGAUGUGUCCUCUGAACCCUCCAAGUGAGGGUGAGUAAGUCUGAAAUGAAAAAUCCGCUCUAACAUGCAAAUAUUCCUAGGCCUUUCAAUCUCUUCCUCUACCAUAAACCAACAUAGGUCUGGCAUUUCGACUUCAUUUACUAUGGGCCACAUUUUGGUCUACAUUUCAGCCAACCAAUGAAACAAAUAGUAGAGUUUUUUCCAGCCCUACAAGCUGCAACAUUAAAUGCAGAAUUUCUGCUUAGUGGGCCCAAAUCAAUAAAUGUAGCCUGACCCAACUUUAUGUUUCUUCCACCAGUAUCCCACACCCUUAAUAUCCAUUCCUACAUAUACUUUCCAGAAAAAUCAAGUCAUUCUUUUGGAGUGUAACCACCUCUUCAUGGUCCACACGUUGUGCCUCACCUUUAGAGGCCUGAUGGGACUUGACUCUAGUUACAGGUCUAGAAGCAAAGAGGGGUGGAGGGGUUGGGUCCUGAUGAGAAUCAGCAAGUCUUGCAAGGCAACUGCCUCAGGAGAGGCAAUUACAGACUCCUCAGUCAAUGCAAAGUUCAUCUCCUCUGAAUGGGGGCAGAGAGGAUGCUUAUAAUGGCAAAGAAGACUCAUCAGAAUGUAGGGGCUCAGUGUUCCCAAUUUCAUCAGUCUUCCCACACAUCCCCAUGCUAACUUUCAGGAUCUCAUUCCUUCCCAAUCAAUGUUCUCACUUUAACAGAAGACACCCUGCAAGGCUGGGAAUUCAAUUUUCACUAUAAUUCAGCCACUCACAGAAUGAGAUUCUGGGUUUGGUUUUCAGCAAUCUCAGGAGAUAAGGAUCUCUUUCAAGGGAAACACAGAAGCUUUCAAAUCCUUUAUGCAGCAUUUGAACUGGGAAUUUGAAUCCUUGGGCUCAUUCAUUUCUUUCCCCCACUUUGUCCAGUAACAUUAGUGCUAACAGCCAAAGUCUUUAUACUCAUUAGUUUCACAAAAAUGUUUGAAGGUAUCAUGUACUCGGUCACCCAGAUUCUUGCCUAUUAUAAGUAUUUGAUUAGAUGUAUCUAGUGAUAUUUUAUGUAUCUUCAUUGCCACGUCACAACAUGGACUAUCAGUGCUCUCUUUACUCCUAGAAAUAGAGUCAAAAGGGUCUUUAACGUCGAAUCAACAUAAGUGCCCAUCAACGGGGGAUUGGAUAAAGAAAAGGUGGUGCAUAUACACCAUGGAAUACUACACAGCCAUAAAC